GUUGUGAUUUGCUUUCAUUUUAGUAACUUUGAGCCAUUGGAAACAGC
RNAcentral lists this non-coding RNA (47 nucleotides) under Parabacteroides distasonis. Lineage: Bacteria; Pseudomonadati; Bacteroidota; Bacteroidia; Bacteroidales; Tannerellaceae. The record is from RNAcentral.